Non-coding RNA from Acanthosepion pharaonis, 102 nucleotides. Lineage: Eukaryota; Metazoa; Mollusca; Cephalopoda; Sepiida; Sepiidae. The record is from the annotation of a GenBank genome assembly.
AGUGUUAAAAUACCACUUCCCAUAUGAUCACUAAAGUUAAUUAAUGUUGAGCCUGGUCAAUACCUAGAUGGGUGACUGCUUGAGAAUACUAGGUGCUGUAAG